This 74-nucleotide transfer RNA is filed under the name Actinobacteria bacterium IMCC25003. Its description in RNAcentral is "tRNA-OTHER". It matches the Rfam family "tRNA". From Rfam's summary of the family: Transfer RNA (tRNA) molecules are approximately 80 nucleotides in length. Their secondary structure includes four short double-helical elements and three loops (D, anti-codon, and T loops). The record is from RNAcentral. Lineage: Bacteria; Bacillati; Actinomycetota.
GCGUCUGUAGCUCAGCGGAUAGAGCGAUCCUUUGACUAAGGGAGAGGUCGUGGGUUCGAAUCCCGCCAGGCGUG